This 371-nucleotide ribosomal RNA is filed under the name uncultured organism. Its description in RNAcentral is "bacterial SSU rRNA". It matches the Rfam family "Bacterial small subunit ribosomal RNA", at positions 528 to 896 of the family's 1533-position model. The record is from RNAcentral.
GAGGGUGCAAGCGUUGUUCGGAAUUACUGGGCGUAAAGCGCGCGCAGGCGGAUCCUGCAAGUCAGAAGUGAAAUCUCACUGCUCAACGGUGAGGCUGCUUUUGAUACUGCGGAUCUGGAGACCGGUAGAGGCUGGUAGAAUUGCAGGUGUAGCGGUGGAAUGCGUAGAGAUCUGCAAGAAUACCCGUGGCGAAGGCGGCCAGCUGGGCCGGUUCUGACGCUGAGGCGCGAAAGCGUGGGGAGCAAACAGGAUUAGAUACCCUGGUAGUCCACGCCGUAAACGAUGGGCACUAGGUGCUGGGGGGAGCGACCCCGUCAGUGCCGCAGCUAACGCGAUAAGUGCCCCGCCUGGGGAGUACGGCCGCAAGGCUG